GAUGAACGCUAGCGGGAGGCCUAAUACAUGCAAGUCGAACGGUAAGGUCCCUUCGGGGAUACACGAGUGGCGGACGGGUGCGUAACGCGUACGAAACAUACCUUCAACAGGGAGAUACCUCCGGGAAACUGGAAAUAAUACCCCAUAGUAUUGAGAUAUCGCAUGAUAUUUCAAUUAAAGCUUUGGCGGUUGAAGAUUGUCGUGCGUCUGAUUAGCUAGUUGGUGAGGUAACGGCUCACCAAGGCGACGAUCAGUAGCUGGUCUGAGAGGAUGAUCAGCCACACUGGAACUGAGACACGGUCCAGACUCCUACGGGAGGCAGCAGUAGGGAAUAUUGGACAAUGGGCGGAAGCCUGAUCCAGCCAUCCCGCCGUGUAGGAA
Molecule: ribosomal RNA, 381 nt
Filed under: uncultured bacterium
Lineage: Bacteria
Description: bacterial SSU rRNA
Rfam family: Bacterial small subunit ribosomal RNA
Source: RNAcentral